UACGUAGGUGACUAGCGUUGUCCGGAUUUACUGGGCGUAAAGGGCUCGUAGGCGGCCAACUAAGUCAGACGUGAAAUCCCUCGGCUUAACCGGGGGAACUGCGUCUGAUACUGGAUGGCUUGAGUUCGGGAGAGGUGAGUGGAACUGCGAGUGUAGAGGUGAAAUUCGUAGAUAUUCGCAAGAACACCAGUGGCGAAGGCGGCUCACUGGCCCGAUACUGACGCUGAGGCACGAAAGCGUGGGGGAGCAAACAGGG
Molecule: ribosomal RNA, 256 nt
Filed under: uncultured bacterium
Lineage: Bacteria
Description: partial 16S ribosomal RNA
Rfam family: Bacterial small subunit ribosomal RNA
Source: RNAcentral